CUGGAGUGAGGUUCAAUGUAAGGACAAGAUCUGCACCCGGAGAAGCUCUCUCUCGGAGAGCACAGGCGGCCUGAGGAGUCAAAACAGGUGGCCUGUGGAGUCAGCACAGGCAGCCUGGAGGAGGUGAGGAACUGAAGUUUGGACAGAUUGAGUCACUUUCUCAGGGACACAUGGCUGGCCGGUGAUGGAGAAGGAGCAGAGGCAUCGCUGGGCUGGAGGUGGGAAGGAUGGACCUGGG
RNAcentral lists this long non-coding RNA (238 nucleotides) under Homo sapiens (human). RNAcentral's name for it is "non-protein coding lnc-THSD4-3:3". Lineage: Eukaryota; Metazoa; Chordata; Mammalia; Primates; Hominidae. The record is from RNAcentral.